GACGAACGCUGGCGGCGUGCUUAACACAUGCAAGUCGAGCGAUGAAGCACCUUCGGGUGUGAAUUAGCGGCGAACGGGUGAGGAACACGUGAGAAAUCUGCCUUCAACUCUGGGAUAACUCCGUGAAAACGGGGCUAAUACCGGAUAUGAAACCUGCGGGCAUCCGCGGGUUUGGAAAGUUUUUCGGUUGAAGAUGAUCUCGCGGCCUAUCAGCGUGUUGGUGAGGUAAUGGCUCACCAAGGCGACGACGGGUAGCCGGCCUGAGAGGGCGACCGGCCACACUGGGACUGAGACACGGCCCAGACUCCUACGGGAGGCAGCAGUGGGGAAUAUUGGGCAAUGGAGGAAACUCUGACCCAGCGACGCCGCGUGCGGGAUGAAGGCCUUCGGGUUGUAAACCGCUUUCAGCAGCGAAGAAGCGAAAGUGACGGUACCUGCAGAAGAAGCACCGGCUAACUAUGUGCCAGCCGCCGCCGUAA
RNAcentral lists this ribosomal RNA (479 nucleotides) under uncultured bacterium. RNAcentral's name for it is "partial 16S ribosomal RNA". It matches the Rfam family "Bacterial small subunit ribosomal RNA", at positions 28 to 523 of the family's 1533-position model. The record is from RNAcentral.